This is a long non-coding RNA of Cornus florida, 953 nucleotides long. RefSeq lists it as uncharacterized. Lineage: Eukaryota; Viridiplantae; Streptophyta; Magnoliopsida; Cornales; Cornaceae. The record is from RefSeq and is a predicted model, not a curated record. The transcript has 4 exons.
UUCUAUUAAUUCUGGAUUAUUUUGCUAUUUGACAGAAUCUGCUGCUGCAACCUUAAUCAAGUGAAUCUGCUCAAACAAAGUUUGAUUGGUGACAUCAUGGAUGCACAGAAGCCUGCAGAAAUGUCUAAUGUGAAUAACUAUUGGUCAGAGGUUGAUUUGUUUACUGAUGCAGAUUUUGUAUCAGUAGCACCCCAUGUCGAAGCCGGGGGAAGUUCUGAGACUCAGGCCAAGAUUGAUCUAUUUGCCUCUCAACCUGCUUCUGCAGUGUCAGUAGACUUUUUUGCUGCUCUCGAUAAUUGCACAGCCAGAGAAUGCCAUCAAAAUCUGACACUAUGAACACCACCAAUAUUGUUUAUCUGUUUACUGUUGUUUUGCUGAACAAUUUUGAUGGGUCUGAUGUUUAUGGCGCUUCUUCUCAAAGUGAUUCAUCAUCUACAUAACCCAGUCCUGAUGGCAGCCAUAACAACUUGAAUGCAAAUUCUUCAACUGAACCUAAGCCUCCACCCAAGAAGGAUAAUUUCACAGUGAAGUCCUGCAAUGGGCAGAUACUCUAAGUUGAGGCUGGUCAAUCUUAAUAUAUCUACUCCAAACUGAUUGAAACCGAGGACUUUUGUCAACCCAAUUGCUGACUAGUCUUUAGCAGACGUUGGAGUUGUGGUUGAGUGAUGGAUCAGAUGAAAUGGAGAAGGGACCCCAGCUUCAUUUUACAUGGGGAGAUCCAUGGGUUCAGGUUCUGGUCUUGGCAGAUCGGAGCUUGCAUCAUCAAUAGCAAUGGGUGUAGAUGAUGAUAUUCACAAAUAAAUUGGUGACCUCCAAAAAUAAUUUUGUUAAUUUUCUCAAUUCAUAAACCAAUUGUCUUCUAUAUUCUUAUAUGUCUUCUGUUAAAACUUGGUAUAUUGUAGAUGUACUUCAGCCAUGUCCAUUUAAUGAAUGUUCAAAUUUGUUAGAAUCCA